This 1405-nucleotide ribosomal RNA is filed under the name uncultured bacterium. RNAcentral's name for it is "partial 16S ribosomal RNA". It matches the Rfam family "Bacterial small subunit ribosomal RNA". The record is from RNAcentral.
AGAGUUUGAUCCUGGCUCAGGACGAACGCUGGCGGCGUGCUUAACACAUGCAAGUCUAAGGAGAAAGUUCCUUCGGGAGCGAGUAAACUGGCGAACGGGUGAGUAACGCGUAGGUAACCUGCCCUUAAGCUCGGGAUAACCCGCCGAAAGGUGAGCUAAUACCGGAUAAUAUCUUUCCUCAUAAGGGGAAAAAUCAAAGGUGGCUUCGGCUAUCACUUAUGGAUGGGCCUGCGUCUGAUUAGCUAGUUGGUAGGGUAACGGCCUACCAAGGCAAUGAUCAGUAGCUGGUCUGAGAGGAUGAUCAGCCACAUUGGGACUGAGACACGGCCCAAACUCCUACGGGAGGCAGCAGUGGGGAAUAUUGCACAAUGGGGGAAACCCUGAUGCAGCGAUGCCGCGUGAGUGAAGAAGGCCCUUGGGUUGUAAAGCUCUUUCGUCGGGGAAGAAAAUGACUGUACUCGAAUAAGAAGGUCCGGCUAACUUCGUGCCAGCAGCCGCGGUAAUACGAAGGGACCUAGCGUAGUUCGGAAUUACUGGGCUUAAAGAGCUCGUAGGUGGUUAGAAAAGUUGGUGGUGAAAUCCCAAGGCUUAACCUUGGAACUGCCACCAAAACUUUUUGACUAGAGUAUGAUAGAGGAAAGUGGAAUUUCUAGUGUAGAGGUGAAAUUCGUAGAUAUUAGAAAGAACACCAAUUGCGAAGGCAACUUUCUGGAUCAUUACUGACACUGAGGAGCGAAAGCAUGGGUAGCGAAGAGGAUUAGAUACCCUCGUAGUCCAUGCCGUAAACGAUGUGUGCUAGACGUUGGGAAUUUAGUUCUCAGUGUCGCAGCAAAAGCGUUAAGCACACCGCCUGGGGAGUACGACCGCAAGGUUAAAACUCAAAUGAAUUGACGGGGACCCGCACAAGUAGUGGAGCAUGUGGUUUAAUUCGAAGAUACGCGCAGAACCUUACCAACACUUGACAUGUUCGUCGCGACUCUAAGAGAUUAGAGUCUUCGGUUCGGCCGGACGAAACACAGGUGCUGCAUGGCUGUCGUCAGCUCGUGUCGUGAGAUGUUGGGUUAAGUCCCGCAACGAGCGCAACCCUUACUUUUAGUUGCUACCAUUUAGUUGGGCACUCUAAAAGAACUGCCGGUGAUAAGCUGGAGGAAGGCGGGGAUGACGUCAAGUCCUCAUGGCCCUUACGUGUUGGGCUACACACGUGCUACAAUGGUACUUACAGUGAGAAGCAAAGAGGCGACUCUAAGCCAAUCCCAAAAAGGUACCUCAGUUCGGAUUGUACUCUGCAACUCGAGUACAUGAAGCUGGAAUUACUAGUAAUCGCGGAUCAGCGCGCCGCGGUGAAUGCGUUCCCGGGUCUUGUACACACCGCCCGUCACACCAUGGAAGUUGGUUACACCUUAAG